UACAUAGCUUAAUGAGGGGAACUCAGGGAACUGAAACAUCUAAGUACCUGAAGGAAGAGAAAGAAAUUCGAUUCCGUAAGUAGCGGCGAGCGAACGCGGAUUAGCCCAAACCAAUAAAGUUUUCUUUGUUGGGGUUGCGGACAUAUCAUAACGAAGAGGUAUCGUAAUUGAAGAGGUUUGGAAAGACCCACCACAGAAGGUAAUAGGCCUGUAUGUUAAACGAGAAGACUUUAGAUAUGAUCCAGAGUACCACGGGACACGUGAAACCCUGUGGGAAGCAGGAGGGACCACCCUCCAAGGCUAAAUACUACCUAGUGACCGAUAGCGUAUAGUACCGUGAGGGAAAGGUGAAAAGAACC
Molecule: ribosomal RNA, 359 nt
Filed under: Clostridioides difficile
Lineage: Bacteria; Bacillati; Bacillota; Clostridia; Peptostreptococcales; Peptostreptococcaceae
Description: bacterial LSU rRNA
Rfam family: Bacterial large subunit ribosomal RNA
Source: RNAcentral